Molecule: ribosomal RNA, 506 nt
Filed under: uncultured bacterium
Lineage: Bacteria
Description: partial 16S ribosomal RNA
Rfam family: Bacterial small subunit ribosomal RNA
Source: RNAcentral
AGUGAACGCUGGCGGUAGGCCUAACACAUGCAAGUCGAACGGCAGCACAGGAGAGCUUGCUCUCUGGGUGGCGAGUGGCGGACGGGUGAGGAAUACAUCGGAAUCUACUCUGUCGUGGGGGAUAACGUAGGGAAACUUACGCUAAUACCGCAUACGACCUACGGGUGAAAGAAGGGGAUCUUCGGACCUUGCGCGAUUGAAUGAGCCGAUGUCGGAUUAGCUAGUUGGCGGGGUAAAGGCCCACCAAGGCGACGAUCCGUAGCUGGUCUGAGAGGAUGAUCAGCCACACUGGAACUGAGACACGGUACAGACUCCUACGGGAGGCAGCAGUGGGGAAUAUUGGACAAUGGGCGCAAGCCUGAUCCAGCCAUACCGCGUGGGUGAAGAAGGCCUUCGGGUUGUAAAGCCCUUUUGUUGGGAAAGAAAUCCAGCUGGCUAAUACCCGGUUGGGAUGACGGUACCCAAAGAAUAAGCACCGGCUAACUUCGUGCCAGCAGCCGCCGUAA